This 599-nucleotide ribosomal RNA is filed under the name uncultured Bacilli bacterium. RNAcentral describes it as "bacterial SSU rRNA". It matches the Rfam family "Bacterial small subunit ribosomal RNA", at positions 28 to 609 of the family's 1533-position model. Lineage: Bacteria; Bacillati; Bacillota; Bacilli. The record is from RNAcentral.
GACGAACGCUGGCGGCGUGCCUAAUACAUGCAAGUAGAACGCUGAAGGAGGAGCUUGCUUCUCCGGAUGAGUUGCGAACGGGUGAGUAACGCGUAGGUAACCUGCCUGGUAGCGGGGGAUAACUAUUGGAAACGAUAGCUAAUACCGCAUAACAGUAGAUGUUGCAUGACAUUUGCUUAAAAGGUGCAAUUGCAUCACUACCAGAUGGACCUGCGUUGUAUUAGCUAGUUGGUGGGGUAACGGCUCACCAAGGCGACGAUACAUAGCCGACCUGAGAGGGUGAUCGGCCACACUGGGACUGAGACACGGCCCAGACUCCUACGGGACGCAGCAGUCCGGAAUCCUUCCGCAAUGGACGGAAGUCUGACCGACCAACCCCGCGUGAGUGAAGAACGUCCUCGGAUCGCCCAAGCUCUGUCGUAAGAGAAGAACGAGUGUGAGAGUGGAAAGUUCACACUGUGACGGUAUCUUACCAGAAAGGGACGGCUAACUACGUGCCAGCAGCCGCGGUAAUACGUACGUCCCGAGCGUUGUCCGGAUUUAUUGGGCGUAAAGCGAGCGCAGGCGGUUAGAUAAGUCUGAAGUUAAAGGCUGUGGCU